RNAcentral lists this non-coding RNA (215 nucleotides) under Pseudonocardia sp. Lineage: Bacteria; Bacillati; Actinomycetota; Actinomycetes; Pseudonocardiales; Pseudonocardiaceae. The record is from RNAcentral.
CUACUUUCCGCACGUCGUGGUGCUCGGGAAGCCCGGUGCAGGACCGGCGCGGCCUUCGCCACUGUGAUCGGGAAGAACCCAUCCACGCCGGGAGCAGACGCCGGCAGCCACUGGACCGCACGACCGGGUCCGGGAAGGCGGGUGGCGCGGUGCCCACUCCCCAGGUGGGACACCGGCCCGUCAGCCAGGAGACCGGCCACGGCGCAGGCGCACAU